GAUCAUGGCUCAGGAUGAACGCUGGCGGCGUGCUUAACACAUGCAAGUCGAACGAAGCAUUUUAUUUGAUUUCCUUCGGGACUGAUUAUUUUGUGACUGAGUGGCGGACGGGUCAGUAACGCGUGGGUAACCUGCCUUGUACAGGGUGAUAACAGUUGGAAACGGCUGCUAAUACCGCAUAAGCGCACAGCAUCGCAUGAUGCAGUGUGAAAAACUCCGGUGGUAUAAGAU
Molecule: ribosomal RNA, 231 nt
Filed under: uncultured bacterium
Lineage: Bacteria
Description: partial 16S ribosomal RNA
Rfam family: Bacterial small subunit ribosomal RNA
Source: RNAcentral